AUGGAGAUUCUAUUUUUAUUGCUGGGAUUUCUCUUCUUUGUCAAAGGUUGUACUGGCCUUACUCUUUAUGGAGAGGUCGGAGGGACGGUCGUAUUUCCAUGCAACUCAACUAUGGAGAACAUCAAGUUUAUUUACCUUCAAGGAGGCCCAGAUUUUACUGAUUUUAUAAUUGGAUAUCAUAACAAGAAGAACCUCACUGGGCCCAAAAGACUUCACACCAAAUUAAGCCUUGAAAAUAAAACGGUAACCUUUUGGAAUCUAACCGUCUUAGACGAAGGGACAUACAAAUGCCUCGUAGGCUAUGAGGUCGGCGGUGGAAUUACUGGAGACACUACAACAAGACUCAUCCUAAUUGGUAGGCCGCCGUUCACUCAUUCCCACUCUCAACAAAAACAUUGGUAACAUAUAUCAUACCUAUUACAUUCUACCACUCCAAUCACUUUGUUCUGAAAUGCAUAAAUGCGGGCAGAUCAACUCUUAAAUGUAGGUAUUGUAUAUUUUAUGUAAAGCAUGUAACUUUUUCCAGUGUUUCUAUAAAACAUGAAGUUUAUUUUCAGACCUGGAUUCAUUUCAGAUUUGGCCUCUGGAACUAGGCAGAGGGCGAACACAUGUCAGGCUGACAAUUUCAAUUUGUUUCACUCGAGUUUUCUACAGGCAUUAGAUCUAUUGUGUUUAUUUUUACGCUUUUAUUAAACAAACUCUUUUUUAUGAAAGUCAAAAAUGAAGAAAUAGGGGAUAUGGAUAUCCUUUGCGUGCAGUUUGAGUACCUCACAUCAGAAUUGACAGAACAAUGGUAGGUUUCUAACUCUGACUCUAGCUCCUCCAGCUGCCAGGGGAUUUCUGCGGACUCCCACCACUGGAAGGAUUGGGUUUGCGAUGAUUGGAAUCUCCAUAUUGAACUUUACAGUGUGCAUAAUAUAAGGCUGUGGGGCACAACUCCUCACAGCUAAACUGUACUUGCUGUUAAAGUACUAUGAACCAUUCUUGGUCGGACCCCUCACCUAAGACCACUUUGCCUUGGGAGACCCUACCAGGAGCACUAUGCUCCAGACAGCACAGCCCUCAGGUUCAUAGGGGCACACAAACCUCUCCACCACGAUAAGGUUCCCAGAACCAUGUAAACUAUAUUAAUUAUAAAUUCCAAAACUUUCCUCCUCGAAGGGAACUCCGUUGCAUUCGGUCAUCGACUUGUAUGGCCUUCCUGUAAACACGGACCUACCGGUAAUGCACAGACCUGUAAAAAAGAAUGGUUUAUUAAACUCUUAGUUCUCCAACUACGCUGUUGGCUCUUUGUUUUAUGCGUCGGGACCCUAGUCAUUCUACUUCAGAGAUUUGAUGCUAUUCUGAGCAAUAGUAGUGGUUAAGAAAUGCUGAUUCGGAAGCGUUCGCCGCCCCAAGCCAAAGCACUAUUAGCCAUUUGUCUAAAAAAUAAUUCUCAACGGCUUAUUUUACCUGUUUUCAUACGGAAAUAGACCCUGGGUUAGAUUUUCGCCGGACUAACACUUUAAGGAAACAUGAAGUAGCCUAAAGAAAUUGGUAAAACUAAUAGCCUUAGGCAUUAGGGUAAUAAAACACAUCGGCUCAUAUCUUACGGCAGGAUUGAAUUGGCAGUGCCGGGAUAUUCAGACGAAAGUUAACCUAACCUUUACCAUCGGUUAGCAUAUAGGCUAAUAUAUAAAAAUGACAGGGUUCUAGACUGCAGACAGACAGACAUAUUUAAGCACUGGCAAGAAAAUGAUCACCUACGCAAAACAUUUUCUUUUUUGAAUUUAAAUGAAAAAGUUGGGGGCACAAAUGCUGCUAGCGGGAAAUGUUGUAGUGAGCCGUGAAAGUUGUUAAAAAAAUAUUUUGUUUUUAAAAUGGUCUGGGGGGUAGAAGAUACACAGCAGAUGGAAAACCUCAUCUCUGUUCUUGUGUUCUUUUCACCCGACCAGAGCCCCCUCCGACGCCCAGUAUAGAGACCCAGCCGCUGUGUGACGUCAGUUGUGCUCUGAAGUGUACCGCGGACACCACAGAUCUGGGACCGGUCUCCUACGAAUGGAAGAAAGAAGACGGAGAGUGGACCGAGGGUGACGCGCUGAAGAAUAUCAGCAGUUCUGAUACCCCUGAGAAGUUCUUCUGCAGGCUGAAGACCCGUGUGAGGACCAGCAACACCAGCCUGCCCAUGGAAAAUCCACUCUAUAAACCAGUACCAGGUAUGUCACCGCUGAAGGGUCGUAUGAAGGUCAUUUUGUUGCAAAGGCUUUAAUUUGUAGAAUAGUAUUUGGGAAGUUGUAAGUUUGCUCUCAAUUUGUAUUUUGAAAUGUAGAAUUGGAUAACAAAUCCACACACACGUGUCAGACUGUGGCAUCUGCGCACCUUGACCUUUGCAAAAAAUAGGAUAGGAUUGGAUCGGAUAGGUUUGGUGAAUUUGUUUCUUAAUAGUGUAGGCAUUGUGUACGCAAUGUCUAGCAAACAUUAUCACUUUUCCAAUAGGUUACUUAAACAGGCGGUUUAUUUUUCUCUUUUAGGCCGAACCCUAGCCUGUUCACCUCAAACAUCCAAACUCUCAGUAUAAUACAAAAGGAGAGCCAAAUCAUAGGCUUGACUUAACAUUAGGGUUGCCGCGGUAUACCGUAUUACCGGUGCUACCGGUGUUGAGGCCAACACCGAUUCCUCGUUGUUGCACACCGGCAACACCAAUUUUUAUUUUAUUUUUUUCAGUAAUAAAAAACAAAUUC
This 2720-nucleotide long non-coding RNA is filed under the name Gadus morhua (Atlantic cod). RNAcentral's name for it is "lncRNA (ENSGMOG00000027960.1)". Lineage: Eukaryota; Metazoa; Chordata; Actinopteri; Gadiformes; Gadidae. The record is from RNAcentral.